RNAcentral lists this ribosomal RNA (256 nucleotides) under uncultured bacterium. RNAcentral describes it as "partial 16S ribosomal RNA". It matches the Rfam family "Bacterial small subunit ribosomal RNA", at positions 521 to 776 of the family's 1533-position model. The record is from RNAcentral.
UAAUACGAGGGGUGCAAGCGUUAUUCGGAAUGAUUGGGCGUAAAGGGUGCGCAGGCGGUACAUUAAGUCAACUGUUUAAUCUCUCGGCCUAACCGGGAAAAAGCGGUAGAUACUGGUGUGCUAGAGUGUGGGAGAGAGAAGUGGAAUUCUCGGAGUAGCGGUAAAAUGCGUAGAUCUCGAGAGGAACACCGAUGGCGAAGGCAGCUUCUUGGCCCAUUACUGACGCUCAUGCACGAAAGCGUGGGGAGCAAACAGG